GGGGUUGUAGCUCAGUGGCAGAGCGCUUGCCUCACAUGCAUGAGGCCCCAGGUUUGAUCCUCAGCGCCA
RNAcentral lists this transfer RNA (69 nucleotides) under Ictidomys tridecemlineatus (thirteen-lined ground squirrel). Its description in RNAcentral is "Spermophilus tridecemlineatus (thirteen-lined ground squirrel) tRNA". It matches the Rfam family "tRNA". Rfam says of the family: Transfer RNA (tRNA) molecules are approximately 80 nucleotides in length. Their secondary structure includes four short double-helical elements and three loops (D, anti-codon, and T loops). Lineage: Eukaryota; Metazoa; Chordata; Mammalia; Rodentia; Sciuridae. The record is from Rfam by way of RNAcentral.